Molecule: ribosomal RNA, 763 nt
Filed under: Pseudomonas costantinii
Lineage: Bacteria; Pseudomonadati; Pseudomonadota; Gammaproteobacteria; Pseudomonadales; Pseudomonadaceae
Description: bacterial SSU rRNA
Rfam family: Bacterial small subunit ribosomal RNA
Source: RNAcentral
AUGCAGUCGAGCGGUAGAGAGGAGCUUGCUUCUCUUGAGAGCGGCGGACGGGUGAGUAAUGCCUAGGAAUCUGCCUGGUAGUGGGGGAUAACGUUCGGAAACGGACGCUAAUACCGCAUACGUCCUACGGGAGAAAGCAGGGGACCUUCGGGCCUUGCGCUAUCAGAUGAGCCUAGGUCGGAUUAGCUAGUUGGUGAGGUAAUGGCUCACCAAGGCGACGAUCCGUAACUGGUCUGAGAGGAUGAUCAGUCACACUGGAACUGAGACACGGUCCAGACUCCUACGGGAGGCAGCAGUGGGGAAUAUUGGACAAUGGGCGAAAGCCUGAUCCAGCCAUGCCGCGUGUGUGAAGAAGGUCUUCGGAUUGUAAAGCACUUUAAGUUGGGAGGAAGGGCAGUUGCUUAAUACGUAACUGUUUUGACGUUACCGACAGAAUAAGCACCGGCUAACUCUGUGCCAGCAGCCGCGGUAAUACAGAGGGUGCAAGCGUUAAUCGGAAUUACUGGGCGUAAAGCGCGCGUAGGUGGUUUGUUAAGUUGGAUGUGAAAUCCCCGGGCUCAACCUGGGAACUGCAUUCAAAACUGACUGACUAGAGUAUGGUAGAGGGUGGUGGAAUUUCCUGUGUAGCGGUGAAAUGCGUAGAUAUAGGAAGGAACACCAGUGGCGAAGGCGACCACCUGGACUGAUACUGACACUGAGGUGCGAAAGCGUGGGGGAGCAAACAGGAUUAGAUACCCUGGUAGUCCACGCCGUAAACGAUGUC